This 479-nucleotide ribosomal RNA is filed under the name Stutzerimonas stutzeri. RNAcentral's name for it is "bacterial SSU rRNA". It matches the Rfam family "Bacterial small subunit ribosomal RNA", at positions 193 to 653 of the family's 1533-position model. Lineage: Bacteria; Pseudomonadati; Pseudomonadota; Gammaproteobacteria; Pseudomonadales; Pseudomonadaceae. The record is from RNAcentral.
CCUACGGGAGAAAGCAGGGGACCUUCGGGCCUUGCGCUAUCAGAUGAGCCUAGGUCGGAUUAGCUAGUUGGUGAGGUAAUGGCUCACCAAGGCUGCGAUCCGUAACUGGUCUGAGAGGAUGAUCAGUCACACUGGAACUGAGACACGGUCCAGACUCCUACGGGAGGCAGCAGUGGGGAAUAUUGGACAAUGGGCGAAAGCCUGAUCCAGCCAUGCCGCGUGUGUGAAGAAGGUCUUCGGAUUGUAAAGCACUUUAAGUUGGGAGGAAGGGCAGUAAGUUAAUACCUUGCUGUUUUGACGUUACCGACAGAAUAAGCACCGGCUAACUUCGUGCCAGCAGCCGCGGUAAUACGAAGGGUGCAAGCGUUAAUCGGAAUUACUGGGCGUAAAGCGCGCGUAGGUGGUUUGUUAAGUUGGAAGUGAAAGCCCCGGGCUCAACCUGGGAACUGCUUUCAAAACUGGCAAGCUAGAGUAUGGCA